GCGAACUGAUUAGAAGCUUGCUUCUAUGACGUUAGCGGCGGACGGGUGAGUAACACGUGGGCAACCUGCCUGUAAGACUGGGAUAACUUCGGGAAACCGAAGCUAAUACCGGAUAGGAUCUUCUCCUUCAUGGGAGAUGAUUGAAAGAUGGUUUCGGCUAUCACUUACAGAUGGGCCCGCGGUGCAUUAGCUAGUUGGUGAGGUAACGGCUCACCAAGGCAACGAUGCAUAGCCGACCUGAGAGGGUGAUCGGCCACACUGGGACUGAGACACGGCCCAGACUCCUACGGGAGGCAGCAGUAGGGAAUCUUCCGCAAUGGACGAAAGUCUGACGGAGCAACGCCGCGUGAGUGAUGAAGGCUUUCGGGUCGUAAAACUCUGUUGUUAGGGAAGAACAAGUACGAGAGUAACUGCUCGUACCUUGACGGUACCUAACCAGAAAGCCACGGCUAACUACGUGCCAGCAGCCGCGGUAAUACGUAUGUGGCAAGCGUUAUCCGGAAUUAUUGGGCGUAAAGCGCGCGCGGC
This 528-nucleotide ribosomal RNA is filed under the name Priestia megaterium. RNAcentral's name for it is "bacterial SSU rRNA". It matches the Rfam family "Bacterial small subunit ribosomal RNA", at positions 66 to 576 of the family's 1533-position model. Lineage: Bacteria; Bacillati; Bacillota; Bacilli; Caryophanales; Bacillaceae. The record is from RNAcentral.